Molecule: ribosomal RNA, 497 nt
Filed under: uncultured bacterium
Lineage: Bacteria
Description: partial 16S ribosomal RNA
Rfam family: Bacterial small subunit ribosomal RNA
Source: RNAcentral
GAUGAACGCUGGCGGCGUGCCUAAUACAUGCAAGUCGAGCGAACAGACGAGGAGCUUGCUCCUCUGACGUUAGCGGCGGACGGGUGAGUAACACGUGGAUAACCUACCUAUAAGACUGGGAUAAUUUCGGGAAACCGGAGCUAAUACCGGAUAAUAUAUUGAACCGCAUGGUUCAAUAGUGAAAGACGGUUUUGCUGUCACUUAUAGAUGGAUCCGCGCCGCAUUAGCUAGUUGGUAAGGUAACGGCUUACCUAGGCAACGAUGCGUAGCCGACCUGAGAGGGUGAUCGGCCACACUGGAACUGAGACACGGUCCAGACUCCUACGGGAGGCAGCAGUAGGGAAUCUUCCGCAAUGGGCGAAAGCUUGACGGAGCAACGCCGCGUGAGUGAUGAAGGUCUUCGGAUCGUAAAACUCUGUUAUUAGGGAAGAACAAAUGUGUAAGUAACUAUGCACGUCUUGACGGUACCUAAUCAGAAAGCCACGGCUAACUACGUG